AACGAACGCUGGCGGCGUGCCUAACACAUGCAAGUCGAACGAGAAAGUUUCCUUCGGGAAACCAGUAAAGUGGCGCAAGGGUGAGUAACACGUGAAUAAUCUACCUGUGAAUUCGGGGAUAACUUGACGAAAGUUGUGCUAAUACCGGAUAAGACCACGUCUCUUAUGUGAUGUGGCCAAAGGAGUCUCAAACUCCGUUUAUAGAUGAGUUCGCGGACCAUUAGCUUGUUGGCGGGAUAAUAGCCCACCAAGGCUACGAUGGUUAGCCGGCCUGAGAGGGUGAUCGGCCACACUGGAACUGAGACACGGUCCAGACUCCUACGGGAGGCAGCAGUGGGGGAAUAUUGCGCAAUGGGCGAAACCCUGAUGCAGCGAUGCCGCGUGAGUGAAG
RNAcentral lists this ribosomal RNA (391 nucleotides) under uncultured Nitrospina sp. RNAcentral describes it as "bacterial SSU rRNA". It matches the Rfam family "Bacterial small subunit ribosomal RNA", at positions 29 to 410 of the family's 1533-position model. The record is from RNAcentral. Lineage: Bacteria; Pseudomonadati; Nitrospinota; Nitrospinia; Nitrospinales; Nitrospinaceae.